This 179-nucleotide unclassified non-coding RNA is filed under the name soil metagenome. Its description in RNAcentral is "partial internal transcribed spacer 1". The record is from RNAcentral.
CAAGAAGCCGAAAGGCUACUUAAUAACCAUCGCGAACUUAUCCAAGUUGCUUCGAGCGGCGCGGCUCCCCUCACGGUGGGACCGCAGCCCCCGCCUCUCAGGAUGGUAAGGGGCAGCCGCCGGAGGUACGAAACUCUGUAUUAUAGUGGUAUCUCUGAGUAUAAAAACAAAUAAGUUAA